Long non-coding RNA from Nothobranchius furzeri (turquoise killifish), 534 nucleotides. RefSeq lists it as uncharacterized. The record is from RefSeq and is a predicted model, not a curated record. Lineage: Eukaryota; Metazoa; Chordata; Actinopteri; Cyprinodontiformes; Nothobranchiidae.
GAAUCGCAACUUCUAACGCAGACUCAUUACCGAGUCUUUUGGUUUCUGAGUGAAUUAACUUAAAGAGCGGGUCAAUUGAGCCUCGGAGUCCUUCUCCACCCACGUAUCAAUUUUAAAAAAUGCAACAUUAGUAGGCGUUGCCUGGAGGACCGAGAGGGCGGAGCCGCGGCAGUGACGAAGACGAUGGCUAACUAGACGAAGCUAGCUCCCUUCACUCUGAGCAGUUGAUAGAAGUGGAGGACGUUUCUCCCCCUCCUUACAGACACUCGAGAAGAAAGGGACCAAGUCUAUUUGGAGGAGACAAGCGGACCUGAGUCUUAUUGUUUUGAGCUUGUGAGUUGCCUGAAACUCCCAGAACCGACCCAACAGAAUCACCUCUGAAAGGUCCUCUGGUGUCUGCAGCUGGUCUCUGGUGUCUGCAGCUGGUCUCCUCUGCUGGUGUCCUCAGGAUCAGGAACUUCCAGAAGAAUGUGCCUUUCAAUGACUCUUUCCCCCUUAUUUGUUAUAUUAAUUAAAUAAAUCUCAAUUUAUAUA